GGUGGGGUGUCGGAGCGGUUACGAGUUCGCCUGCAGAGCGAAUCUACGUGGGUUCGAGUGCCGUCGUGGACCA
RNAcentral lists this transfer RNA (73 nucleotides) under Nitrososphaeria archaeon. RNAcentral describes it as "tRNA-Cys". Lineage: Archaea; Thermoproteati; Nitrososphaerota; Nitrososphaeria. The record is from RNAcentral.